AGUGAACGCUGGCGGUAGGCCUAACACAUGCAAGUCGAACGGCAGCACAGUAAGAGCUUGCUCUUACUGGUGGCGAGUGGCGGACGGGUGAGGAAUACAUCGGAAUCUACUUUUUCGUGGGUGAUAACGUAGGGAAACUUACGCUAAUACCGCAUACGACCUACGGGUGAAAUCAGGGGAUCUUCGGACCUUGCGCGAUUGAAUGAGCCGAUGUCGGAUUAGCUAGUUGGCGGGGUAAGGGCCCACCAAGGCGACGAUCCGUAGCUGGUCUGAGAGGAUGAUCAGCCACACUGGAACUGAGACACGGUCCAGACUCCUACGGGAGGCAGCAGUGGGGAAUAUUGGACAAUGGGCGAAAGCCUGAUCCAGCAAUACCGCGUGGGUGAAGAAGGCCUUCGGGUUGUAAAGCCCUUUUGUUGGGAAAGAAAAGAAGCAGGUUAAUACCCCGCUGCUCUGACGGUACCCAAAGAAUAAGCACCGGCUAACUUCGUG
This 492-nucleotide ribosomal RNA is filed under the name uncultured bacterium. RNAcentral's name for it is "partial 16S ribosomal RNA". It matches the Rfam family "Bacterial small subunit ribosomal RNA", at positions 29 to 507 of the family's 1533-position model. The record is from RNAcentral.